RNAcentral lists this ribosomal RNA (468 nucleotides) under uncultured bacterium. RNAcentral's name for it is "partial 16S ribosomal RNA". It matches the Rfam family "Bacterial small subunit ribosomal RNA", at positions 28 to 507 of the family's 1533-position model. The record is from RNAcentral.
GACGAACGCUGGCGGCGUGCUUAACACAUGCAAGUCGAACGGAAAGGCCCUGCUUUUGUGGGGUGCUCGAGUGGCGAACGGGUGAGUAACACGUGAGUAACCUGCCCUUGACUUUGGGAUAACUUCAGGAAACUGGGGCUAAUACCGGAUAGGAGCUCCUGCUGCAUGGUGGGGGUUGGAAAGUUUCGGCGGUUGGGGAUGGACUCGCGGCUUAUCAGCUUGUUGGUGGGGUAGUGGCUUACCAAGGCUUUGACGGGUAGCCGGCCUGGGAGGGUGACCGGCCACAUUGGGCCUGAGAGAGGGACCAGACUCCAACGGGAGGCAGCAGUGGAGAAUAUUGCACAAUGGGCGGAAGUCUGAUGCAGAGGCGCCGCGUGCGGGAUGACGGCCUUCGGGUUGUAAACCGCUUUCGCCUGUGACGAAGCGUGAGUGACGGUAAUGGGUAAAGAAGCACCGGCUAACUAUGUG